This 6046-nucleotide long non-coding RNA is filed under the name Citrus x clementina. RNAcentral's name for it is "Citrus clementina (C. clementina) long non-coding RNA (CCLE_LNC001331)". The record is from RNAcentral. Lineage: Eukaryota; Viridiplantae; Streptophyta; Magnoliopsida; Sapindales; Rutaceae.
CUCCACAUGCUCAGGAGGCAGUGGGAUCCCAAUGGAACGCAUAACUUUUUGAGGAAGGGGCUUCUUACAACGAGACCAACGAAAAACAUCAGUCAUAAUAUUAUCACCAUCAGUCUUUUCCUCAUUUGUGGAAUGUAAAAGGUGAUUUUGAGACUUUUCUGUCUCUGUAUCAUGAGACUCAGAUGCUGGAACAGCUUUUACCAUCUUCUCUCCCGCAAAAGAGAGUUCAUACCUGCAGAUAACAACUCAAAAGAUCAGAAAAUACAAACCAUUACCAAGAAAUUGCCACAUGUACUUUAGAGAUUCCAAUAUCCAGAAAAUUAUUCUGAUUUGAGGCUAUAAAUCAUUUUCUUCUUACACAAACAAAUGACAAUAGACUUUAAUUCAAGUGACUAGUUUCAUUCAUAACAGAUAUGAAAUGAGAAAAUACUAUCAGUUAAAAAAAAAAAAAAGAAUUGAUAAAGUUGUACCCCAAGACCAACAGGAACAAGCAGAAUGCAGAACUUCAAAGCUAUAUGCAGCUCUUCAUAAAAGCAAAGCCUAAUCCUAUUCCAUCAACUUGGAAACUUCACUAGGAUGCUUCCGGAUCUUAAAUUUGGAACUUAGCAUCUCCAGUUAAGUUCAGGUUUAAUGCAUCUGAUCCGUAAAUUGUCGUAUUCCAAUGUUCCACGAAAUCACAUGAUGAUGUAAAUAUGUGAUCAUAUCUCAGUAUAGUUUCUUUAAUUUGAUCAUUGGUGCUAUGUAGCAUUAAGAACAAAAGAGAAAUAAGACAAUAAUAACAUCAGAAUAGAGGCAGAUAGAAAACAAUUACAUAACAAAUUUAUUAAAACAAAAUAUCAUGUUCCAAAAUCCCAAAUGACAAUCAAACAACCUGUGCAAACAAUUUAUGUCAAUAACAAGAUAGGAAGACUACCUGCAAGAAUGUGUUUCUAAAUAAAGAACUUCCCCCUUCUUCAAACGUGCUGAUGUAUAAAGGGGCUUCUUCAGACCUUUAUCAGCAACAAUACUUAUACUGUACUUAAUCCUGAAUAAGUUGCAGGCAUUCAGAUUAAUUAGUAUCGGAACACUUGAAUAUCGAGGAGAUUCAAAAAAUAAAUAAAUAAAUAAAAACCAAGAAAAGCAAUUAUCAGGUAUAUUCAAUUAUUUCUAACUGUAAUGCUGAGAAAAGCAAGGUCACAACGUCCCAACUCUCCGUGCACAUAAACAUUCAAACAAAUUUUCCAACAAUAAACUGAUAUAUGUACGUAAAUGCAUGCUAGAAAUUAUGAAAAAGAAGAUUAUAUGCAUACCAAGGUUCAUUGCAGAGGUUGUACUGAAUUGUGACUUCUCGCACGAAUCUUUGUUGCCGCAAUGCAUUCUGAAGAAUGAAAAACAUAAAGCGAGCCAGUUGUUAUUUAAUACAAACAAAACAUAUACAUAAAUGCUCACACAUACCCACAUGUGCUACACAAGAAUAUGUGAUUCAAAACAUAAUUGUCUUUGCAGUCCAAGUUAUCUGACAAUCAUUUAGAAGCUUUGUUUAAGACAGAUGGUUUUCAGAGCUGGCCUAACUCGGUGGCUUUGAAAGUCUUCUGUAUAUAAGCUACAUUAAGACAAAGAGGGUUUUCCAGGUGCACCAUGCCAGGUGUUAUUUGACAAUCUACCAAGUUGAAUACACAAUGAACACACUACAUUUGCCAAUUCUGACCCUAAUUAAAGAUUUAAAUGAACUAGGACAAAUGGAGAGAUAUAAUGGAAAGUCAUCCACUGAUGCAAUCCCAACAAACAUAAGUAGCUGAGUGAUACCGAUGCUGCAGCCCUAGUAGUCAUUGUCCGUUCCACUGCCAUGGGAGCAAGGGUAGGCUCCACUGUUGAUGAGUGAGUAAGACAAGGCUCUAGAUCAAUAGUUCCACCUCCUUUCUGCAAUUUAAAAAACAGAAAUUCAUAUGUGCAUAACUAUUAAAAAGUGUUAAACAACCUGUAAGCUACUAACUUCUACCAACUCAAUAGCACUUGCUAAAGUUUUUAUGCAAAAGAAAAGGGCAUUUUAAGUCCAAAAAAUUAGAAUUAUUGAUUGAAUUCCGACUCCAUCAAUCCAUGCAACCAUCCAAUCUUUAACGAAAAAAUGAAGCAUCAUUAAUGAGACAUCUGAAGCAGAAAAAGGCAGAGAUAACUAGUUUGUCACCUUCACAAUGCAACACUUCUCAACACGGUAACUACAACCACUUCCAGCCCCCCAGGCACGGGAACACACGUUAUUUCUUUGUCAGAUGUGUAACCUAACAAAGCUAGUGGAGGUUAGCCUUGUUAAAAUGCACAUAAGUAAAACAAACAUUGUGAUGGGAAUUGCAGAAGUGCAAAGAGAUAAAAAGAGAGCAUAAGUUACAACUAGUUAAAUAAAGAAAAAUUAAUCAGCUUCCGAAUAUGCUUCAGUCAAUAACUCAGGUCGAAUUCUCUAAUAACUAUUAUUGGGUUGAAAGCCAAUGAUAAACAUAGAGAAGAAUAAUGCACUGCAUUAUUCAGCACAUUACUUCUCCAUAUCGACAAAGUAGGACUGUGGAAGUGUCAUCCAGGAAUAAGACCUUCUGCAAACAGAGACAUAAAAUUGUCUCCCAAGUUGUCUACCACAGUCUAUCCAAACACACUUUUCUUACUAAUUGUGAACACACAUGAGGAUUGUGUUUUGUUUUGGCACAAGGUGUGUUGGAUACAACUUAAGAAAUGUAGACACAAUCUAUAACCAUCAAGUCCAAACAAAAGUCAAGAUCUAAAAUGCUUUAGAAGAUCAGAAAAACAGCAAAAUAUCAAUUUCAGCUUCUUUUUCACUAAUUGUAAACUCAAACUCAAACCCGAGUAAAAGGGUAAAAGAAAGUGAAACUCACAAUUCAGACAUGUAGGUUAUGCUCCGUUGCAAUGAGAAUCAAAUUAGGGUUUAGUGGGUUUCCGUUUCAAACAGAUGGAAAAGCAUUGUAUUUGCGAAAAUCAAAAUAGACACUGUUUUUCACUUUGAAUUAAUAAUAUCUAUAUGAAGAGAAUAAAUCUUCUUACCCAGCAGGACCCGGAGGCCGGGAGUGAUAUUCCUAGAGCCGGUAAAAUUUGACACACUUAAUUAUCUGAUAUGAAUACUAGGUGAAUAAAUAGGUACGAGUCAUUUAAUUUGAUACGAUUUUUAUAUGUGUUAGAUCUGAGUAGAUAUAAUAUUUUUUUCGAAUUGAGUUGAGGCUAAAGUUUUUGAUUUAUUUAUUUAAAAGAAUAAUAUGGUUAUAUUUUUUAUUUUAAAUUAAUUUAUAGGUUUUUGUUAUAAAUUUUAAAUAUUGUACAUUAUUUUCUUUUUCUUUUUUAAAUGAUGAACAUGUAUAUAAUGUUUUAUUUAUAAAAUUUUAUAUAAAUUUAGAAUUUCAAUAAUGUAAAUAUGUAAAAUAUUGAUAGACAUAUAUGUUUUAUAAUAUCGAUAUGUAAUAUUGUUUGUAUAUGUAUAUAUUUACAAAUUCAAUAGUGUAAAUGAGUAAUAUUUUAGUAGAUAUAAAUAUAUAUAUAUAUAUAUAUAUAUAUAAAGCGGGUUAUUGAAGAAUUUAUUUAUUUUUUGUAUCAUAUCAGCGUCUUAAUAUUUUGAUAUAAUAUUAAAUAAGUAGUAUUUCAAUCAAUUUAAAUUUAAUACAACACGAAUACGACCUAAGAACCUAUAUUGUCAACUCUAGAUAUUUCUUCUCUUAAAAGUUUAAUAUAUCAAAUGAAUGUGGUCAAAACUCAACUGCCAUUGACAGCCCGUCUUUAUUUAUUACCAUUUUUUUUUCAAGUAGUAAAACAAAAUUAUUUUUUGGGUAAAUUGAUGAGUUGCAAAUGUAUUAAUUGAAUAGAAACCAAGGGAGAUAUUAAUAAACGAAAAUUAGAUACGAAUGAUAUUAAUCCUAACUAAUAUCACAAUAUUGAUAUCAAUUAUAAAUUAUAUACAUAUCAAAUAAUCACUUUUAGUAUGUUGAAAAGUCACGUAAAUAUGCGUUUGCCUUUUUUUACUCCUUCCCAUUUUCUCUACUUUUUUUUUAAAGAAUUAGCAUCAUAAAAAUUAAACAAAAAAAUACAAGACCCAAAUGGAGAUCAAAGUACCUUUCUUCCGAAAUUAUUUCAGAAAUAUUAGUUAUGCUAUCUGCAUGUUUUUUUGUUCGUACAUUUUAUCAAGGCAAAAUGUCAUUAGACAAUAAAUUCUUAAUAACGUCAUCUAAUUUUAAAUCAAUGCAGAUUUGUCUUGUUAUAAAUAUUCCUCAUAAGGUCUCUUUGGAAAUAAAAUUAGGUAAUAGUUUAAAAGUUACAGUACUAAAGUGUUUGAUAAAUAUUAACUGUUAUAACUUAAAAAAUAUGUUGAUAUAAUUUUUCAUUUGUAUGAUGAAAAUUUUAUUAUAUAAACUUAUUUUUUAAAAUUUAUAUUUACUACGUAUUAUUAACUUUUAUUUCAUAAUUACAAUAUUUUUUCUACAACAAUUAUAAAUUAAAAUUAUAACACUUCAAUCUUAAAUAGAAUGAUAAUCCAUCGUAUUUCUCAUUUUUUCAAAAAAAAAUUGUUCAUGGUCUUUGUUCACCGUCACCGGCUAGUAAAAAUUCUACGGCAUUACAUGUAUGAAACAGAAAAAUCUCCAAAAUCUCAGUACUAAUCCAAAAGAAAGACUACAUUACAUUCACAGUUCUGUUCAAAAUCAAUUCAGCACCUAUGACAUUACACCUACCUUACCAAUCUUGCCACCCUUCUGCUUUUCAAAUAAUCUACAAGAUUAUGCAACAACUAAUUCUCUUCUGCCUUUAUUCCAAAACCCGCCGCCCCAACCAAAAAAAAAAACCAAUCAAAAAAAAAAAAAACUCUGCUAAUCAAGAACCUCCGCUCUAAAGUUCUGAGAAGGCUGAAGUUGGUGAACUUGGAUAUCCACUAGUCUACUCAUGAAAUAAUUAACUACAUUCCAUAAUUACACAUGUAAUGUCAAUAGCGAUUAGCGAGUGUGAGAGAGAUAUUCUAAUCACACGUCAUUUCGCAUUGCAUUCUUACAAGGAGUUGUUCUGUUUCACACAUCAAACCAAGAUAAAAAAAAAUUGUACAUACAAGGAGACAGGCACAACUGUCAAUCCUUAGAUAGGAAAUGCACCCGUGCAAGGGUGUAUUCUUUCCCAGCUAUCCAAACGCCAGUUUGUGACCAUUGCACAUCCUCCCAGUCAAGAUUUUCUUCUAUUACCUGUCCAAGAAAAAAAAUUCAAAUAGAAGACAAAAGAACCACAACUACAUCGUUUCUAAGCAAUGUACAGAACAGAUGGAUUUAUAUACCAAGCUAGGCCCACCAUGCAUGUUUGCUAUGCAAAAUAUUACAUCAAUAUGCAUAUAUGAUUGCACAUGUGGAAAUUUAACUGGAUAGGCAAAAUAGAUGCAAUUUUGCUAAGUUGGACCAACAUGCCCUAUGCUGAGAUGGGCAAUAGGAGAAUGCAAAGUGGAAGUAGAUACCAAGCACUCAUCAAUACAAAGUUUCUGGCAACUCAGGAGUGCUUCCAAGUUCCAAAGAUGAACCUCCAUUCGUUUUAGUUCUAAACAUGCAAUGAUGUCGAAAGAAACAAGUGAGAUGAAGUACCUCCACAUGCUCAGGAGGCAGUGGGAUCCCAAUGGAACGCAUAACUUUUUGAGGAAGGGGCUUCUUGCAACGAGACCAACGAAAAACAUCAGUCAUAAUAUUAUCACCAUCAUUCUUUUCCCCAUUUGUGGAAUGUAAAAGGUGAUUUUGAGACUUUUCUGUCUCUGUAUCAUGUGAUUCAGAUGCUGGAACAGCUUUAACCAUCUUCUCUCCCGCAAAAGAGAGUUCAUACCUGCAGAUAACAACUUAAAAGAUCAGAAAAUACAAACCAUCACCAAGAAAUUGCCACAUGUACUUUAGAGAUUCCAAAAUCCAGAAAAUUAUUCUGAUUUGAGGCUAUAAAUCAUUUCUUCUUACACAAACAAAUGACAAGAGACUUUAAUUCAAGUGACUAGUUUCAUUCAUAACAGAUAUGAAAUGAGAAAAUCCUAUCAGUUAAUUAAAAAAAAAAAAGAAUUGAGAAA